RNAcentral lists this ribosomal RNA (253 nucleotides) under uncultured bacterium. RNAcentral describes it as "partial 16S ribosomal RNA". It matches the Rfam family "Bacterial small subunit ribosomal RNA", at positions 524 to 776 of the family's 1533-position model. The record is from RNAcentral.
UACGUAGGGUGCGAGCGUUAAUCGGAAUUACUGGGCGUAAAGAGCUCGUAGGUGGUUUGUCGCGUUGUUCGUGAAAACUCACAACUCAAUUGUGGGCGUGCGGGCGAUACGGGCAGACUGGAGUACUGCAGGGGAGACUGGAAUUCCUGGUGUAGCGGUGGAAUGCGCAGAUAUCAGGAGGAACACCGGUGGCGAAGGCGGGUCUCUGGGCAGUAACUGACGCUGAGGAGCGAAAGCGUGGGGAGCGAACAGG